Molecule: ribosomal RNA, 332 nt
Filed under: uncultured Myxococcus sp.
Lineage: Bacteria; Pseudomonadati; Myxococcota; Myxococcia; Myxococcales; Myxococcaceae
Description: bacterial SSU rRNA
Rfam family: Bacterial small subunit ribosomal RNA
Source: RNAcentral
CGUGUAGGCGGCGUGACAAGUCGGGUGUGAAAGCCCUCAGCUCAACUGAGGAAGUGCGCCCGAAACUGUCGUGCUUGAGUGCCGGAGAGGGUGGCGGAAUUCCCCAAGUAGAGGUGAAAUUCGUAGAUAUGGGGAGGAACACCGGUGGCGAAGGCGGCCACCUGGACGGUAACUGACGCUGAGACGCGAAAGCGUGGGGAGCAAACAGGAUUAGAUACCCUGGUAGUCCACGCCGUAAACGAUGAGAACUAGGUGUCGUGGGAGUUGACCCCCGCGGUGCCGAAGCUAACGCAUUAAGUUCUCCGCCUGGGAAGUACGGUCGCAAGACUAAA